CUGCCCUUGGGAGGGGAACAACAGCUGGAAACGGUUGCUAAUACCCCAUAGAAUUUAGUACCUCUACGAGGUAGGCUGAGGAGCAAAAGGGAGGAAUCCGCCCAAGGAGGGGCUCACGUCUGAUUAGCUAGUUGGUGAGGCAAUGGCUUACCAAGGCUCCGAUCAGUAGUUGGUCUGAGAGGAUGAUCAGCCACACUGGGACUGAGACACGGCCCAGACUCCUACGGGAGGCAGCAGUGAGGAAUUUUCCGCAAUGGGCUUUUUUUCUGACGGAGCAAUGCCGCGUGAAGGAAGAAGGCUCACGGGUCGUAAACUUCUUUUCUCGGAGAAGAAAAAAUGACGGUAUCUGAGGAAUAAGCAUCGGCUAACUCUGUGCCAGCAGCCGCGGUAAAACAGAGGAUGCAAGCGUUAUCCGGAAUUAUUGGGCGUAAAGUGUCUGUA
RNAcentral lists this ribosomal RNA (441 nucleotides) under uncultured organism. RNAcentral's name for it is "bacterial SSU rRNA". It matches the Rfam family "Bacterial small subunit ribosomal RNA", at positions 126 to 573 of the family's 1533-position model. The record is from RNAcentral.